This 268-nucleotide ribosomal RNA is filed under the name uncultured bacterium. Its description in RNAcentral is "partial 16S ribosomal RNA". It matches the Rfam family "Bacterial small subunit ribosomal RNA", at positions 333 to 618 of the family's 1533-position model. The record is from RNAcentral.
UUACCCCUACGGGGGGCAGCAGUGGGGGAUAUUGCACAAUGGGGGGAACCCUGAUGCAGCGACGCCGCGUGGGUGAAGAAGCGCCUCGGCGCGUAAAGCCCUGUCAGCAGGGAAGAAAAUGACGGUACCUGAAGAAGAAGCCCCGGCUAACUACGUGCCAGCAGCCGCGGAAAUACGAAGGGGGCAAGCGUUAUCCGGAUUUACUGGGGGUAAAGGGGGCGCAGACGGCGAGGCAAGCCAGGAGGGAAAGCCCGGGGCCCAACCCGGG